GCCCGGUUAGCUCAGUCGGUAGAGCAUAAGACUCUUAAUCUUAGGGUCGCGGGUUCGAGUCCCGUACCGGGUG
RNAcentral lists this transfer RNA (73 nucleotides) under Vairimorpha apis BRL 01. RNAcentral's name for it is "tRNA-Lys (CTT) (tRNA-Lys-CTT-1-1)". It matches the Rfam family "tRNA". From Rfam's summary of the family: Transfer RNA (tRNA) molecules are approximately 80 nucleotides in length. Their secondary structure includes four short double-helical elements and three loops (D, anti-codon, and T loops). The record is from Rfam by way of RNAcentral. Lineage: Eukaryota; Fungi; Microsporidia; Nosematidae.